UGGGGAAUAUUGCACAAUGGGCGCAAGCCUGAUGCAGCAACGCCGCGUGAACGACGAAGGUCUUCGGAUCGUAAAGUUCUGUUGCAGGGGAAGAUAAUGACGGUACCCUGUGAGGAAGCCCCGGCUAACUACGUGCCAGCAGCCGCGGUAAUACGUAGGGGGCUAGCGUUAUCCGGAUUUACUGGGCGUAAAGGGUGCGUAGGUGGUCUUUCAAGUCGGUGGUUAAAGGCUACGGCUCAACCGUAGUUAGCCUCCGAAACUGGAAGACUUGAGUGCAGGAGAGGAAAGUGGAAUUCCCAGUGUAGCGGUGAAAUGCGUAGAUAUUGGGAGGAACACCAGUAGCGAAGGCGGCUUUCUGGACUGCAACUGACACUGAGGCACGAAAGCGUGGGUAGCAAACAGG
Molecule: ribosomal RNA, 403 nt
Filed under: Verrucomicrobiota bacterium
Lineage: Bacteria; Pseudomonadati; Verrucomicrobiota
Description: Verrucomicrobia bacterium partial 16S ribosomal RNA
Rfam family: Bacterial small subunit ribosomal RNA
Source: RNAcentral